RNAcentral lists this ribosomal RNA (305 nucleotides) under uncultured bacterium. Its description in RNAcentral is "bacterial SSU rRNA". It matches the Rfam family "Bacterial small subunit ribosomal RNA", at positions 333 to 635 of the family's 1533-position model. The record is from RNAcentral.
UGAGGCCUACGGGGCGCAGCAGUGAGGAAUAUUGGUCAAUGGACGGAAGUCUGAACCAGCCAUGCCGCGUGCAGGAAGACGGCUCUAUGAGUUGUAAACUGCUUUUGUACAAGGGUAAACCUGAAUACGUGUAUUCAGCCGAAAGUACUGUACGAAUAAGGAUCGGCUAACUCCGUGCCAGCAGCCGCGGUAAUACGGAGGAUCCAAGCGUUAUCCGGAUUUAUUGGGUUUAAAGGGCGUGUAGCCGGGUUGACAAGUCAGAUGUGAAAUCCUGCGGCUUAACCGCAGAACUGCAUUUGAAACUG